GGCAGUAGCUCAGUUGGUAGAGCAUCAGCUUCCCAAGCUGAGGGUCGCGGGUUCGAAUCCCGUUUGCC
This 68-nucleotide transfer RNA is filed under the name Phocaeicola vulgatus. It matches the Rfam family "tRNA". Rfam says of the family: Transfer RNA (tRNA) molecules are approximately 80 nucleotides in length. Their secondary structure includes four short double-helical elements and three loops (D, anti-codon, and T loops). The record is from RNAcentral. RNAcentral also lists the same sequence under 1 other name. Lineage: Bacteria; Pseudomonadati; Bacteroidota; Bacteroidia; Bacteroidales; Bacteroidaceae.